This is a non-coding RNA of Parelaphostrongylus tenuis, 75 nucleotides long. NCBI's taxonomy places the organism in Eukaryota, Metazoa, Nematoda, Chromadorea, Rhabditida, Metastrongylidae. The record is from the annotation of a GenBank genome assembly.
GCGUCAGUAGUGCAACGGGUUAGAGCGCGCUCUCCCGAAUAGAACGAGAUGCGAGUUCGAGUCCCGCCUGACGCA